UGGACGGCCAGCUAGCCAGCCACCGCUAAAGUCCACAACGUGGGCUGCCAAAGAUGCCAACUUGCAAUUUUCGGAUCAGGGUUUUGAAACUCACAAAUGUUGGCUAUAAAAUGGCACAUUCCAUAUUGCUUAUAAAAUACCCAAAUCAAAAUUAAAAGGACAGAAAGAGUCUUCUAUACCAUACACAUAUAUACCCAACCUUCAACAUGGCUGAAGAAUCUGCUCAAAGAAAAACUCAAUGGCCAGAGCUUGUCGGCGUAGAAUUUUCUACUGCUGCUAUGAUAAUAGAAAAUGAAAAUCCUGAUGUGAAGGCUAUCAAGAUUCUAGCAGGUAGUUUCAGAAUUAUGGAUUUUGAUACUAGUCGAGUUUGGGUUGAUUGCAAUAUAGAAGACAGGGUUGUUGAAAUGCCCAGUGUCGGUUAGAGAUUGGGUUAUAUGUAUAAAGUCAAUCAUAUAUAUAUAUAUAUAUAUAUAAUGUCUAUGCAUAUAUCUAAGUGAAUUAUAUGCUUAAUCAUGUCAUUCCAAUAUUGUACUAAUAAGUGGUAUUUCUACCGUUUCAAUUCUCAUCUCAUAAGAGUGUAUAUUUGUAAUAAAUAGUUGAAUUAUAUGUUACAAUGAACAUCAACAAAGGCCGAUCUUUAGAUAUUA
Long non-coding RNA from Cucumis melo (muskmelon), 647 nucleotides. RefSeq lists it as uncharacterized. The record is from RefSeq and is a predicted model, not a curated record. The transcript is spliced from 2 exons. Lineage: Eukaryota; Viridiplantae; Streptophyta; Magnoliopsida; Cucurbitales; Cucurbitaceae.